UGAGGGAAAGGCGAAAAGAACCCCGGCGAGGGGAGUGAAAAAGAACCUGAAACCGUGUACGUACAAGCAGUGGGAGCACAGAGCAAUCUGUGUGACUGCGUACCUUUUGUAUAAUGGGUCAGCGACUUAUAUUCUGUAGCAAGGUUAACCGAAUAGGGGAGCCGAAGGGAAACCGAGUCUUAACUGGGCGUUAAGUUGCAGGGUAUAGACCCGAAACCCGGUGAUCUAGCCAUGGGCAGGUUGAAGGUUGGGUAACACUAACUGGAGGACCGAACCGACUAAUGUUGAAAAAUUAGCGGAUGACUUGUGGCUGGGGGUGAAAGGCCAAUCAAACCGGGAGAUAGCUGGUUCUCCCCGAAAGCUAUUUAGGUAGCGCCUCGUGAAUUCAUCUCCGGGGGUAGAGCACUGUUUCGGCAAGGGGGUCAUCCCGACUUACCAACCCGAUGCAAACUGCGAAUACCGGAGAAUGUUAUCACGGGAGACACACGGCGGGUGCUAACGUCCGUCGUGAAGAGGGAAACAACCCAGACCGCCAGCUAAGGUCCCAAAGUCAUGGUUAAGUGGGAAACGAUGUGGGAAGGCCCAGACAGCCAGGAUGUUGGCUUAGAAGCAGCCAUCAUUUAAAGAAAGCGUAAUAGCUCACUGGUCGAGUCGGCCUGCGCGGAAGAUGUAACGGGGCUAAACCAUGCACCGAAGCUGCGGCAGCGACGCUUAUGCGUUGUUGGGUAGGGGAGCGUUCUGUAAGCCUGUGAAGGUGUACUGUGAGGUAUGCUGGAGGUAUCAGAAGUGCGAAUGCUGACAUAAGUAACGAUAAAGCGGGUGAAAAGCCCGCUCGCCGGAAGACCAAGGGUUCCUGUCCAACGUUAAUCGGGGCAGGGUGAGUCGACCCCUAAGGCGAGGCCGAAAGGCGUAGUCGAUGGGAAACAGGUUAAUAUUCCUGUACUUGGUGUUACUGCGAAGGGGGGACGGAGAAGGCUAUGUUGGCCGGGCGACGGUUGUCCCGGUUUAAGCGUGUAGGCUGGUUUUCCAGGCAAAUCCGGAAAAUCAAGGCUGAGGCGUGAUGACGAGGCACUACGGUGCUGAAGCAACAAAUGCCCUGCUUCCAGGAAAAGCCUCUAAGCAUCAGGUAACAUCAAAUCGUACCCCAAACCGACACAGGUGGUCAGGUAGAGAAUACCAAGGCGCUUGAGAGAACUCGGGUGAAGGAACUAGGCAAAAUGGUGCCGUAACUUCGGGAGAAGGCACGCUGAUAUGUAGGUGAAGUCCCUCGCGGAUGGAGCUGAAAUCAGUCGAAGAUACCAGCUGGCUGCAACUGUUUAUUAAAAACACAGCACUGUGCAAACACGAAAGUGGACGUAUACGGUGUGACGCCUGCCCGGUGCCGGAAGGUUAAUUGAUGGGGUCAGCGCAAGCGAAGCUCUUGAUCGAAGCCCCGGUAAACGGCGGCCGUAACUAUAACGGUCCUAAGGUAGCGAAAUUCCUUGUCGGGUAAGUUCCGACCUGCACGAAUGGCGUAAUGAUGGCCAGGCUGUCUCCACCCGAGACUCAGUGAAAUUGAACUCGCUGUGAAGAUGCAGUGUACCCGCGGCAAGACGGAAAGACCCCGUGAACCUUUACUAUAGCUUGACACUGAACAUUGAGCCUUGAUGUGUAGGAUAGGUGGGAGGCUUUGAAGUGUGGACGCCAGUCUGCAUGGAGCCGACCUUGAAAUACCACCCUUUAAUGUUUGAUGUUCUAACGUUGACCCGUGAUCCGGGUUGCGGACAGUGUCUGGUGGGUAGUUUGACUGGGGCGGUCUCCUCCUAAAGAGUAACGGAGGAGCACGAAGGUUGGCUAAUCCUGGUCGGACAUCAGGAGGUUAGUGCAAUGGCAUAAGCCAGCUUGACUGCGAGCGUGACGGCGCGAGCAGGUGCGAAAGCAGGUCAUAGUGAUCCGGUGGUUCUGAAUGGAAGGGCCAUCGCUCAACGGAUAAAAGGUACUCCGGGGAUAACAGGCUGAUACCGCCCAAGAGUUCAUAUCGACGGCGGUGUUUGGCACCUCGAUGUCGGCUCAUCACAUCCUGGGGCUGAAGUAGGUCCCAAGGGUAUGGCUGUUCGCCAUUUAAAGUGGUACGCGAGCUGGGUUUAGAACGUCGUGAGACAGUUCGGUCCCUAUCUGCCGUGGGCGCUGGAGAACUGAGGGGGGCUGCUCCUAGUACGAGAGGACCGGAGUGGACGCAUCACUGGUGUUCGGGUUGUCAUGCCAAUGGCACUGCCCGGUAGCUAAAUGCGGAAGAGAUAAGUGCUGAAAGCAUCUAAGCACGAAACUUGCCCCGAGAUGAGUUCUCCCUGACUCCUUGAGAGUCCUGAAGGAACGUUGAAGACGACGACGUUGAUAGGCCGGGUGUGUAAGCGCAGCGAUGCGUUGAGCUAACCGGUACUAAUGAACCGUGAGG
RNAcentral lists this ribosomal RNA (2434 nucleotides) under Escherichia coli. RNAcentral's name for it is "partial 23S ribosomal RNA". It matches the Rfam family "Bacterial large subunit ribosomal RNA", at positions 504 to 2915 of the family's 2925-position model. The record is from RNAcentral. Lineage: Bacteria; Pseudomonadati; Pseudomonadota; Gammaproteobacteria; Enterobacterales; Enterobacteriaceae.